This 517-nucleotide ribosomal RNA is filed under the name Lochmaea capreae (willow leaf beetle). RNAcentral's name for it is "partial 12S ribosomal RNA". Lineage: Eukaryota; Metazoa; Arthropoda; Insecta; Coleoptera; Chrysomelidae. The record is from RNAcentral.
UGCGGUUAUACAAAUAAUAUAAUUUAAUUUUAUUAAUAAAAAUUAAUUGAUUUAUUUAAAUUUUAAAUUAAAAUUUAUUAGGUAAAAUUUUAAAUUUUAAUUAUAUUUAUUUAAUUAAAUGAAGUUUAGAAAUUUAUUUUGUAAACUAGGAUUAGAUACCCUAUUAUUUUAAAUGUAAUUUUAUUUAUUAAAUUAUUAUAAGUUAUGUUCUUUAAAAUUAAAAAUUUUGGCGGUAUUUUAGUCUUUUCAGAGGAACCUGUUGUGUAAAUGAUAACCCACGAUUUGAUUUAUUUUUAUUAUUAAUUUGUAUAUCAUCGUAAUUAAGUAUUUUAUUAGAAUUACUAAUAUUUAAAGUUUUUUAUAAAAAAAUUAGUCAGAUCAAGGUGCAAUUUAUAUAAAAGUAUUAAUGGGUUACAAUAAAUUUAUUUAUGGAUAAUUUUUAUUAUUAAGAUUUUGAAUUUGGAUUUGAUAGUAAAUUUAAUAAAUUAAUUAAAUUGAUUUUGGCUCUAAAAUAUGC